GGUGAACGCUGGCGGUAGGCCUAACACAUGCAAGUCGAACGGCAGCACAGUAAGAGCUUGCUCUUACGGGUGGCGAGUGGCGGACGGGUGAGGAAUACAUCGGAAUCUACUUUUUCGUGGGGGAUAACGUAGGGAAACUUACGCUAAUACCGCAUACGACCUACGGGUGAAAGCAGGGGAUCUUCGGACCUUGCGCGAUUGAAUGAGCCGAUGUCGGAUUAGCUAGUUGGCGGGGUAAAGGCCCACCAAGGCGACGAUCCGUAGCUGGUCUGAGAGGAUGAUCAGCCACACUGGAACUGAGACACGGUCCAGACUCCUACGGGAGGCAGCAGUGGGGAAUAUUGGACAAUGGGCGCAAGCCUGAUCCAGCCAUACCGCGUGGGUGAAGAAGGCCUUCGGGUUGUAAAGCCCUUUUGUUGGGAAAGAAAAGCAGCAGGUUAAUACCUCGCUGUUCUGACGGUACCCAAAGAAUAAGCACCGGCUAACUUCGUG
This 492-nucleotide ribosomal RNA is filed under the name uncultured bacterium. RNAcentral describes it as "partial 16S ribosomal RNA". It matches the Rfam family "Bacterial small subunit ribosomal RNA", at positions 28 to 507 of the family's 1533-position model. The record is from RNAcentral.